CGUAACACCGGUGGCCCGAGUGGUAAUCACUAUUAUUGGGUCUAAAGGGUCCGUAGCCGGUUUAAUCAGUUCUUCCGUGGAAAUCUGACAGCUCAACUGUUAGGCUUCCGGGGGAUACUGUUAGACUUGGGACCGGGAGAGGUAAGAGGUACUACAGGGGUAGGAGUGAAAUCUUGUAAUCCYUGUGGGACCACCAGUGGCGAAGGCGUCUUACCAGAACGGGUCCGACGGUGAGGGACGAAAGCUGGGGGCACGAACCGGAUUAGAUACCCGGGUAGUCCCAGCCGUAAACGAUGCUCGCUAGGUGUCUGGAACGGUGCGACCGUUUCAGGUGCCGCAGGGAAGCCGUGAAGCGAGCCACCUGGGAAGUACGGCCGCAAGGCUGAAACUUAAAGGAAUUGGGGGGGGGAAACCAC
This 416-nucleotide ribosomal RNA is filed under the name uncultured euryarchaeote. RNAcentral's name for it is "bacterial SSU rRNA". It matches the Rfam family "Archaeal small subunit ribosomal RNA", at positions 469 to 882 of the family's 1478-position model. The record is from RNAcentral. Lineage: Archaea; Methanobacteriati; Methanobacteriota.